GAUGAACGCUGGCGGCGUGCCUAAUACAUGCAAGUCGAGCGAACGGACGAGAAGCUUGCUCCUCUGAUGUUAGCGGCGGACGGGUGAGUAACACGUGGAUAACCUACCUAUAAGACUGGGAUAACUUCGGGAAACCGGAGCUAAUACCGGAUAAUAUUUUGAACAGCAUGGUUCAAAAGUGAAAGACGGUCUUGCUGUCACUUAUAGAUGGAUCCGCGCUGCAUUAGCUAGUUGGUAAGGUAACGGCUUACCAAGGCAACGAUGCAUAGCCGACCUGAGAGGGUGAUCGGCCACCCUGGAACUGAGACACGGUCCAGACUCCUACGGGAGGCAGCAGUAGGGAAUCUUCCGCAAUGGGCGAAAGCCUGACGGAGCAACGCCGCGUGAGUGAUGAAGGUCUUCGGAUCGUAAAACUCUGUUAUUAGGGAAGAACAUAUGUGUAAGUAACUGUGCACAUCUUGACGGUACCUAAUCAGAAAGCCCCGGCUAACUACGUG
RNAcentral lists this ribosomal RNA (497 nucleotides) under uncultured bacterium. RNAcentral's name for it is "partial 16S ribosomal RNA". It matches the Rfam family "Bacterial small subunit ribosomal RNA", at positions 28 to 507 of the family's 1533-position model. The record is from RNAcentral.